Molecule: ribosomal RNA, 400 nt
Filed under: uncultured bacterium
Lineage: Bacteria
Description: bacterial SSU rRNA
Rfam family: Bacterial small subunit ribosomal RNA
Source: RNAcentral
GGGGGAUAUUGCACAAUGGAGGAAACUCUGAUGCAGCAACGCCGCGUGAGGGAAGAAGGUCUUCGGAUUGUAAACCUUUGUCCUUGGUGACGAUAAUGACGGUAGCCAAGGAGGAAGCUCCGGCUAACUACGUGCCAGCAGCCGCGGUAAUACGUAGGGAGCAAGCGUUGUCCGGAUUUACUGGGUGUAAAGGGUGCGUAGGCGGCUCUGCAAGUCAGGCGUGAAAACUAUGGGCUUAACCCAUAGACUGCGUUUGAAACUGUGGGGCUUGAGUGAAGUAGAGGUAGGCGGAAUUCCCGGUGUAGCGGUGAAAUGCGUAGAGAUCGGGAGGAACACCAGUGGCGAAGGCGGCUUACUGGGCUUUAACUGACGCUGAGGCACGAAAGCAUGGGUAGCAAAC